Molecule: long non-coding RNA, 626 nt
Organism: Phyllostomus hastatus (greater spear-nosed bat)
Lineage: Eukaryota; Metazoa; Chordata; Mammalia; Chiroptera; Phyllostomidae
Exons: 3
Source: RefSeq, a predicted model, not a curated record
ACUGAACUGCCAAUCAUUUCAUUGUUUGGGAUUCUCCAAAUGUCUGGGCCCUGCUAACAGUCAUCCUGUGAUAGAUACAUGGAAACAUCAGCAAAGGAAGAUGCAUGUUUAACCUUCUGAAGUUUUGGAAUACAUAAUUCAGCUAAAAUAAAGCUUACGUGGGUUUAUGCUUCAACCAGGGAGCAGAGAGCGUUUCUCUGAUUCACGAAGCCCUGAGGCGAAAGCUUAUGGUGAAGAUGGAAUAUUCCGCCCUUCGUAUACAAGGCAAUUCUCCUGGCCCACUGUCAAUGGAACUUCCGCUUGAAAAGCUCACUGUCCCGAAUGAAGCAGCACCUAUGACCUUCGACCUCACUGGUCAAGCAAACAACUAUCAAUCACCUGUUUGUAUCUUUUAAUCACUGUACAAGGCCCAGUGAGGAGUGCAAAAAAGCAUCCGCCGUGAUCCUUGCCUUCAAAAAUCUUACAUUAACAGGACGUUCUCGUCUAGCGGCUUCCAGACUUUUUAAAUUGAGAACCCCUGUUGGUAAAAAACAAAUUUGAACAUGUACCCCCAAUGUAUGUAUGUUCAUGUACAAGUUUAUAUGUGAACUAUUCUCAAAACAUACUUAAAGAUUUGUAAAGAUUGU